Camelus dromedarius (Arabian camel) is the source of this 87-nucleotide microRNA precursor. Ensembl annotates it as microRNA 152. Its record names the gene MIR152. NCBI's taxonomy places the organism in Eukaryota, Metazoa, Chordata, Mammalia, Artiodactyla, Camelidae. The record is from Ensembl.
UGUCCCCCCCGGCCCAGGUUCUGUGAUACACUCCGACUCGGGCUCUGGAGCAGUCAGUGCAUGACAGAACUUGGGCCCGGAAGGACC